GACGAACGCUGGCGGCGUGCUUAACACAUGCAAGUCGAACGGAAAGACCCUGCUUUUGUGGGGUGCUCGAGUGGCGAACGGGUGAGUAACACGUGAGUAACCUGCCCUUGACUUUGGGAUAACUUCAGGAAACUGGAGCUAAUACCGGAUAGGAGCUCCUGCUGCAUGGUGGGGGUUGGAAAGUUUCGGCGGUUGGGGAUGGACUCGCGGCUUAUCAGCUUGUUGGUGGGGUAGUGGCUUACCAAGGCUUUGACGGGUAGCCGGCCUGAGAGGGUGACCGGCCACAUUGGGACUGAGAUACGGCCCAGACUCCUACGGGAGGCAGCAGUGGGGAAUAUUGCACAAUGGGCGGAAGCCUGAUGCAGCAACGCCGCGUGCGGGAUGACGGCCUUCGGGUUGUAAACCGCUUUCGCCUGUGACGAAGCGUGAGUGACGGUAAUGGGUAAAGAAGCACCGGCUAACUACGUG
This 468-nucleotide ribosomal RNA is filed under the name uncultured bacterium. RNAcentral describes it as "partial 16S ribosomal RNA". It matches the Rfam family "Bacterial small subunit ribosomal RNA", at positions 28 to 507 of the family's 1533-position model. The record is from RNAcentral.